Molecule: ribosomal RNA, 253 nt
Filed under: uncultured bacterium
Lineage: Bacteria
Description: partial 16S ribosomal RNA
Rfam family: Bacterial small subunit ribosomal RNA
Source: RNAcentral
UACGGAGGGGGCAAGCGUUAUUCGGAAUUACUGGGCGUAAAGGGCGCGUAGGCGGCCUUCUAAGUCGAACGUGUAAUCCCCGGGCUCAACCCGGGAACUGCGUCCGAGACUGGGAGGCUAGAAUCCGGGAGAGGGAUGUGGAAUUCCAGGUGUAGCGGUGAAAUGUGUAGAUAUCUGGAGGAACAUCGGUGGCGAAGGCGGCAUCCUGGACCGGUAUUGACGCUGAGGCGCGAAAGCCAGGGGAGCAAACGGG